GGACGAACGCUGGCGGCGUGCUUAACACAUGCAAGUCGAGCGGUAAGGCCCUUUCGGGGGUACGACGAGCGGCGAACGGGUGAGUAACACGUGGGUGACCUGCCCUUAGCUCUGGGAUAAGCCUGGGAAACUGGGUCUAAUACCGGAUAUGACUCCAUGACGCAUGUUGUGGGGUGGAAAGCCUUGUGCGGCUAGGGAUGGGCCCGCGGCCUAUCAGCUUGUUGGUGGGGUGAUGGCCUACCAAGGCGACGACGGGUAGCCGGCCUGAGAGGGCGACCGGCCACACUGGGACUGAGACACGGCCCAGACUCCUACGGGAGGCAGCAGUGGGGAAUCCUGCGCAAUGGGCGAAAGCCUGACGCAGCGACGCCGCGU
Molecule: ribosomal RNA, 375 nt
Filed under: uncultured bacterium
Lineage: Bacteria
Description: bacterial SSU rRNA
Rfam family: Bacterial small subunit ribosomal RNA
Source: RNAcentral